Molecule: long non-coding RNA, 1268 nt
Filed under: Capsicum annuum
Lineage: Eukaryota; Viridiplantae; Streptophyta; Magnoliopsida; Solanales; Solanaceae
Description: long non-coding RNA (CANN_LNC003183)
Source: RNAcentral
AAAACAAAGGUAAAAGAAAAAGAACAGAUGAUGAGGAAAAGAGUAGGGGAGAAAGUAGAGCAAGGAGGAAAGCAGAAAAAUAGAGGUAAAAAGGGCAAUGCAAGCCUCUAGAGAAGAAGCAGAGAAAAGGAAGGAGGACCUUUGACCUGAUGAUGCAGGAGCCUCAUCUAGUGGAACUCCUCCAGCUAUUGUAAUGGAUGAGCCAGCACAGUAGCAGGCUCUAAAUGUGGGUUUCCUAGCUGAGGGCGCUGAUGUAGGGUCGAGAACCCACGAUCCCCAUGCUUGAUCUACUCAAGGUAUACCCUAACCCUUAGUUCAGUUUUUGUUUGAUUUCUAAUAUGAGUGGAAAGGGACUUCUUUCCUUUGAGGGCACACUGGAUAUAUUGCUAGUUGCUAACAUAUUUGGAUAGUGUAAUAUUGGUGCAUACAUGGUUGUUGUUGAUGCAUUGAUGCUAUAACUUGAUUCCUGUAUGUUGUACUAUUGUUCUUCAAUAGUAUACACAGUUGAGUUUGAACUGAUUGACCUUGGGGAAUGUAGAUGUGUUUUGAGAUAAUAUGAAUGAUUGACUGCUAAUUGUACUUUGUAUCCCCUUAGUUAUGUUUUGGUAGCUUGAGGACAACCGAUUGUUUUAAGUUGAGGGUGUUGAUGUGUAAGAAUAUGAUAACACAUUUAAGGCUUUUAACGAGAAAUAAUUGUAAAGUCAUAAGCAAAUUUUGUUAUUUUUGAUUGUUUUAUAUUUGUUAUUGCAGAAAAAGUCAAGAUGCAAGAGAACCAACAAUAAUGGAGGCAAAAGAGUUGAAAUUUGAUGCAAAUAGAAUGGAAGUGUGGCUAAAGACAUUCCUAAUAAGUCAUCUGCCCUAUGAUAAGCUAUCAGAGAUGUUGUCAAGCUUGGUAGUGUCAGAGAAAUUGAGGUAAAAAUCUAAUGACAUUUAUAAUACGUCAUCAGGAGUGUGAUAAGGCAUCAUAAAUAUUAUCAGGCUUAUGUAGCAAGUGGGAUUUUGAGUGAAGAAGUGAGGACAACUCUGAUAAGUUGUUACAAUCCUAAUAAGUCAUCGAAAACAACGAUUACUUAAUCAGAAGAUGUCAAGACUGAAGAAGGAUCUGACAACAUUCCUGAUAAGUCAUCAGGAUCCUGAUAAGGAGUUACGAAUGUCGUCAACUAUUCGAUAGAAUUACUGAACUCUGUGAUUUUGUUUCCAUAUUUACGUUGAACUAUUUAAAGCAUUGUUUAGGGUUUUCUUAGAAAUGAUCAAACAUUAGAUCAUUG